Molecule: ribosomal RNA, 470 nt
Filed under: uncultured bacterium
Lineage: Bacteria
Description: bacterial SSU rRNA
Rfam family: Bacterial small subunit ribosomal RNA
Source: RNAcentral
ACUCCUACGGGAGGCAGUAGUGGGGAAUAUUGCACAAUGGGCGCAAGCCUGAUGCAGCCAUGCCGCGUGUGUGAAGAAGGCCUUCGGGUUGUAAAGCACUUUCAGUCGUGAGGAAGGUAGUGUAGUUAAUAGCUGCAUUAUUUGUACGUUAGCGACAGAAGAAGCACCGGCUAACUCCGUGCCAGCAGCCGCGGUAAUACGGAGGUGCGAGCGUUAAUCGGAAUUACUGGGCGUAAAGCGCAUGCAGGUGGUUUGUUAAGUCAGAUGUGAAAGCCCGGGGCUCAACCUCGGAAUAGCAUUUGAAACUGGCAGACUAGAGUACUGUAGAGGGGGUAGAAUUUCAGGUGUAGCGGUGAAAUGCGUAGAGAUCUGAAGGAAUACCGGUGGCGAAGGCGGCCCCUGGACAGAUACUGACACUCAGAUGCGAAAGCGUGGGAGCAAACAGGAUUAGAUACCCCUGGUAGACUGUC